RNAcentral lists this ribosomal RNA (746 nucleotides) under uncultured Serratia sp. RNAcentral describes it as "bacterial SSU rRNA". It matches the Rfam family "Bacterial small subunit ribosomal RNA", at positions 751 to 1502 of the family's 1533-position model. Lineage: Bacteria; Pseudomonadati; Pseudomonadota; Gammaproteobacteria; Enterobacterales; Yersiniaceae. The record is from RNAcentral.
GUGCGAAAGCGUGGGGAGCAAACAGGAUAGAUACCCUGUAGUCCACGCUGUAACCGAUGUCGAUUGGAGGUUGUGCCUUGAGGCGUGGCUUCCGGAGCUAACGCGUUAAAUCGACCGCUGGGGAGUACGGCCGCAAGGUUAAAACUCAAAUGAAUUGACGGGGGCCCGCACAAGCGGUGGAGCAUGUGGUUUAAUUCGAUGCAACGCGAAGAACCUUACCUACUCUUGACAUCCAGAGAACUUUCCAGAGAUGGAUUGGUGCCUUCGGGAACUCUGAGACAGGUGCUGCGUGGCUGUCGUCAGCUCGUGUUGUGAAAUGUUGGGUUAAGUCCCGCAACGAGCGCAACCCUUAUCCUUUGUUGCCAGCGGUUCGGCCGGGAACUCAAAGGAGACUGCCAGUGAUAAACUGGAGGAAGGUGGGGAUGACGUCAAGUCAUCAUGGCCCUUACGAGUAGGGCUACACACGUGCUACAAUGGCGUAUACAAAGAGAAGCGACCUCGCGAGAGCAAGCGGACCUCAUAAAGUACGUCGUAGUCCGGAUUGGAGUCUGCAACUCGACUCCAUGAAGUCGGAAUCGCUAGUAAUCGUAGAUCAGAAUGCUACGGUGAAUACGUUCCCGGGCCUUGUACACACCGCCCGUCACACCAUGGGAGUGGGUUGCAAAAGAAGUAGGUAGCUUAACCUUCGGGAGGGCGCUUACCACUUUGUGAUUCAUGACUGGGGUGAAGUCGUAACAAGGUAACCA